AUUAUGCUGGGGACUUCCCUGGUGGUGCAGUGGAUAAGACUCUGUGCUCCCCAUGCAGGGGCCCAGGUUCGAUCCCUGGUCAGGGAACUAGAUCCCACAUGCAUGCUGCAGCUAAGAAGCCCGUGUGCCACAACUAGGAAGCUGGCGAGCCACAACUAAGGAACCCUGGAACCGCAAUUAAGGAGCCCUCAUCAUUUCAAAUUUUAUUUUUAGUUACCCAAAGAUUUAUUUUAAGACAUUUAUUCUGAUCAAUUUUUUUAAAUCAUAAAACUCAUAUAAAAAGGAAAGUCUCUUCUAUCAGUUCUUCAUCUUCGCAUUGACAGUCCUUAGACCUUGGGUGUUCCCCUGAGUUUGUCACUCAUUUUAAUACAUCUGUCAUUAUUACUGUCUGAGUAUUCAUAAAUACCACCGUGUAUAUGGAACACCUGUUACGGUACAGGUACUUAUUACUUUUGUAAUGUUCUCAUCUAACCCUUGCAGCAGCCCUUUAGGUUUAGGGUAAGUGUUAUUAGUAUACUUUACAGUUCAGGAAACUGGGGCUCAGGAAAGUUAAGUUGCUUAUAAUCACAGAGCAGUUAAAGUGAUGGAGAUCCCUGACCUCAGAGCAAGUGUCCUGAGUACCAUAAGUGGUUCAUAUAUGCAGGCUGUGGGUCUCAGGCAUUUGUGGAGAUUAAAGAAAUAAAUGCAUGGGAGAGAUCUACUCUCAAAUAUACAGUCAAUCUAGAAAGGAACAUCUAUAAUUUUUUAAAGGCGUGUGAUUAAAUGUGUGAUUCUAAUUUUCAUACCUUUCAGAACCAGUGUAUGCUGUGCUACCAAAUAAAUGCUCACUUUUGUCAUUUUCUUAUUAAUAAGUUUGCUGAUAUUCUUUGACUCCUGUCAAUUUUCAUAUUGUUAUUAUUGUAGAAUCAAUAGAAUUUAUAAUUGGGUCUUCACUUUAAGGUGGGAAAUAAACGCAGUAGUACCGAGAAUGUUGCAUAUCCAUUCUCUCCAUCUGUAUGUUGAACCUAAACCACAACAGGUUUACUGUGCUCAUGCGCACUAGCCAUGAGCAGAGUCAUCUACAUUAGAAUUCCAGUCAGUCUUUGUUUUUUUUUUUUUCCGAAGUCUUAAUAGUCGUCCACCUUGAACCUUUAAAGUAUAUUUUAAAAACUGCACAUAUAAUAAGAAUGAUAGAGUUUUAUUAUGACCCUAAGGAAGUUAUUUCAGCUUUUUGUUUCCACACAAGCAUUUAAAGUUUUCGUUUCAAACUAAACAAUGAAAAGUUUGUACUGUUUACUUAUGUUUAAAAAAAUGAUUGAACAGAUCCCAGGCAGCUCAGACAGGGCAGGUAGAAGGCUCCAAGGGCUGACAUUAGGAAAACUAAUCCAAGUGCUUAGAAAACUUGAUGUAGCCAUGCCAUACAGGAAUGUGUACUGUACAGUUGUAGGUAGAGCUCUGGGUAGACCAGAGUACAAGUCUUUUCUGAAGUUUUCAGGAUAUCUGGGAUUUGAAUUCAUGCCUUGUAUUUGUUUUCGUAUGUAAUAGGUUGAGUAUGUAAGAAGCAGUGUUCAUAAAAGCUGGCAAACCUGUUUUACUUGUUUCUCAAUCUUUUCAGAUCAUUGCUUAUAAAACACUGACAUUUACAGUAAAUAUUUUGUUUUAAAUACAGGCUAACACUAUCAAACCGUGUGUCCUUGCGCUGCACUCAUUUAAUGACCUCGCCCUUUGGUAAGUUGGCAUGUGGUUUGAGGUGGCUUUCGGUGAUGGAGAGUUUGAAGGAGUUAAAGGGAAAAGCAGGAAGAGAAUAACAUUUUCAGGGAAAUGUGAUCAUACAAUGGACAGGCCCUUGAGAGAAUAAGAGAUUAUCUCUAUCUUUAUUAUGUGACCUUUGGCUAAUUCCUGAAGCAUACUCACUUCAUAUGCCUUGUAUGUAAAUGAUAACAUUACAGUUUUUUAUAAGUCCCUUUAUCUCUGUGACUCCAGUGAUCUGUUUUAUUGUGUGUUUGCGUAUGUCAGUAGCUCACAAUAUUUAGCAGAUUGAGUUCUAGGUCAAACCACCUGGAUUCAUCUAUAAAAUGGGGUUACCUAUCUCCUAAAUUGCAGUGAUAAUUUAAUUAGAUAAUCCAGAUAAUCACUUAGCACACUAUCUGGCAAAUACUAAGCCCUCAGGAGAUAACUCACUCUUCAAAACUCAGUUCAAAUGUCUUAAUAUUACCUGGAUCUUGGACCUUCCAGGUAAAAGGGAGGGAGGGUUCUUAUCUUUGUGUCAUAAAUAUGUCUUUUACUAUCUUCUAGUUUAGCACUAUCACUGGUACUAAAAUUAUCACUAAUUUAUUUACAUGUGUAUUUCUCCUCUUAAAUUGUGAGCCCCUUGAAGACAGAAACAAGUUUAUCUUUAUAAAUUCAGUGUCUGACAUGAUAAAUUUUGUUGAAAGAAGAAAAUUUUAUUCUUGUUUUUCUUUUAUUUUUAUUAUUAUUAUUAUUAUUAUUAUUUAAUUGCGGCAUGCAGGAUCUAGUUCCCGGACCAGGGAUCGAACCCCGGCCCCCUCCAUUGGGAGCGCAGACUCUUAACCACUGGGCCACCAGAAAAGAUUUGAAGCUCAGAGAAGCCACAUUUUGCCCAAGAUGAAAGAGCUAGCAAGAACAAGGGCUGCAACUGUCUAGCUAAUACAGGAGUGACCAGGUCCCCUGCCAGGGAGAACAAGAAGGCCCAUGUGGACUUUGCUGGCUCUAGUGUGCAGAGAGCUUCCAGGCAAGAACAGGCAGGGAGCUCAGGCUGGAACAGCUGGACAAGGACGGAGUCAGCAGCCUGUGCUACGCGUGCAGCCUCCAGGAAACUGAGAUGCAAGCAACAUUAGGCUGGAGGAACGAAGAUCAUGACAAGUGAUAUCUUACAGGGAGCCUCAGUAUAGAGGUCAAUGUGGGCAGAACUGCUGAUGUUGGAGGGUUUCAGGGGACCUGGAGGCCAGCCCAGGCCAAUCCAGCUCUAUGGAGCAGUGGAAAAGCCAUCACUCUCAAAUAAUCACUCGAGUCCACUUGCAGCAAAGUUUGUAAAACAAAGGAUGUUGAUACAUUCCCCCAAAGCCAUGGACCCAGAUAAAAACUCCUGUUUUCCAGUCCGGACAUUGGAAGAUGACGAUGAAGUUGAUAUAUGAAGAAGCACAAAUUGGACAGCUGACCCUAAUAAAUCAUAGAGGAGGAACAGGUGACAAGCACACACUCGUACCCACGUGACUGUACUUCUCCCAGCUCGCUCCAGCACAGGACAAGCGGCAGGUGUGGCUCACCGCCCCUGUGGCAAGCCGCUGACACGAAUGUUCAUAUCUUUGGAACUGUACAGUAUGUAGCCUGUUCAGACAGGCCUCUUUCACUUUGGAAAUAUGCAAUUAAGUUUCCUCCACGUAACUCCCGAUUUUUAACUACUGAAAAUAAAUUGAAAUAGUCACAAAAUA
Molecule: long non-coding RNA, 3431 nt
Organism: Lagenorhynchus albirostris (white-beaked dolphin)
Lineage: Eukaryota; Metazoa; Chordata; Mammalia; Artiodactyla; Delphinidae
Exons: 7
Source: RefSeq, a predicted model, not a curated record